Alexandromys fortis (reed vole) is the source of this 1991-nucleotide long non-coding RNA. RefSeq lists it as uncharacterized. The record is from RefSeq and is a predicted model, not a curated record. NCBI's taxonomy places the organism in Eukaryota, Metazoa, Chordata, Mammalia, Rodentia, Cricetidae. The transcript has 3 exons.
UGUCUCAAACAGCUCUCUUCCAGUCAAGGUCCUCCCUUUAAGUAGUCACAGCUAAAGUCACCCUGUCUCCCUUUCUAGGCUCUGGUUCCAGUUCCUCCUCUCCCCUUCAGGCUCACUGACUUCUCCCUGUCUGUACACCACAGCACCCAUAGUUGAUUGAACCGGAACUAAUCCUCAGAGCAGAGUGACAAAUUGAUUUCUUCGUCUUCUGAGCAACCAAAUGAACGGGCUAAUACCAGAGGAGAAGACCUCGGGUCAUUCAUUCUCCGGUUCAUCAAACUAAAGCUGUGGACGAGCCCGUGACCUAGGCAUCAGGACCCAAAGAUAAAUGGUGUGAUGCGUUUGAUUGGAGGAAAGUAAAGGUUGCUGAGAGCUCUGAGGAAGGAACCUUUGAUCCUGUUAAGAGCCAGUGGAAGAGGUCACAGAGUUGGUGAUGCUUGGUUUUUGAUGGUUACGAUGUUGAGCCCUCCUGUGGGGACCCUUGGGGCUGUGAACAGUGCGUUUAAGCCUCUGUCCCUUGUUCCUACUCUCCAAGCAACUGUCAUUUGUUUAUGUGAGAUCACCUGUGAGCUGAAAGAUGGACAAACUGUCUUUGAAUUUCUAGUUAUCUAUCCCGACCUGCCAUAGUGUCCACUUCUGUGUCAGACACAUGCCUGGUGCUAGAGAAAUUAUCUGUGUGCUAGGACAAACGCAGAGGAGUGUAGCAUCAGGAAACGCUCAGACAGGAGGCAGGCAUGGCAAGAGCAGUCUGCCACAGCAGAGGUGCAGAGCCCUCUGAGGAGGAAAGAAGGCGCCAGGAAAUGGAGACUCGAGGAAGCUCCCUUCAGAUCAACUGUCUGGAAGUGCUUUGCCUUGGAGCUAUGACAGCCAAGUGCCCAGAAUGACCUUGAGGUAACCGCCUGGGCUCCAGCUCUGGCAACAGCACCAGCACCUGACCGGAUUCAGCCAACCACUUCUCCACAGCCCUUCAAGGACCUGACUGCACACGGGCUCUGUCCAGCAGUGUCUCCCAGGAGGCAAUGGGAUUGCUCUGCUGGUUCCACAGGCUGGAAAACCUGCACACAUUCCUGUGAAGGACCCGGCUUUAGAGUCUGUGCAUACUGCCUCUGCCUGCCACCCUGGUCCACCAUCUCUGGACUAGCUGUCACCGCACUGGGUCCCAAGGAGUAAGCGCACGUCAUGAACUUUCAUAGCGAGUGCCUUUGACCUGCUGAGCCACCUCGAUGGCCCUUGAAUCUGCAUUUUCAUGAGCUCCUCAGUUGACAGACAACACAAGAGAUGAGUCUUGGAGAAACCCCUGCAGCUGAGAACUCAGGCUGGUAAACAGAACCAAGGCCAGCUGCUGAGAGCUGAAUUCCUAGUCAAUCUAAAGUGUUUUCCAAAAAACCGGAGCUGACUGAGAAUGUAAGAAGCCAGCUGGGUGCAGCUAUAACCCAGGAACUCAGAAAUCUGACAGGAAGGAUGGGAACAAAGAAGGAGGAGCAGGAGGAGGAAGAAAAGAGGAGGAGGGACCAAGAGGGCCGGGGGAGUGGAUGGCUCAGUGAAUAGAGUACUUGCUAAGCAAGCAUGAAGACUUGAGUUCAGAUCCUCAGAACCCACAUUAAAGCUAGAAACAGUAGCCUCUGUCUGUGACCCCAGUACUUCUGUGGGGAGACAGAAGGUGGGGCUGGAAGCCCUGACUAUUUACAUGGUGUGUGAAACAGCAAAUAAAGAAAUUCUAUCUCAAAAAAGGUGGAAGACAAGGACACUAGAAGUUGUCUUUGAACUUCACAUGUCCUCCGUGGCAUUCACACACGUGCGUGCACACACACACACACAGAGGUUAAAAACAAAAGCAAUGGCCCACCAUACAUGUGUAAGCAGCCAUACAUGUGUAAGCAGAUGUUGGUUCCAUACUAAGCAGAGACAGGAGAUAAAAACUUGGACGUUAGCCCGGAGUUCACUGGAAGUCUUCUUUUUCACAGCCCUUAUUUCUCAGGACCAUGCUGUUA